UAAUACAGAGGGUGCAAACGUUGUUCGGAAUUACUGGGCGUAAAGCGCGUGCAGGCGGCCUUGCAAGUCGGACGUGAAAUCCCACGGCUCAACCGUGGAAGUGCAUUCGAAACUGCGAGGCUGGAGUCCUGGAGAGGAAAGUGGAAUACUCGGUGUAGAGGUGAAAUUCGUAGAUAUCGAGUGGAACACCGGUGGCGAAGGCGGCUUUCUGGACAGGUACUGACGCUGAGACGCGAAAGCGUGGGGAGCAAACAGGAUUAGAUACCCUGGUAGUCCACGCCGUAAACGAUGAGUGCUAGGUGUCACGGGCUUUGACCCUCGUGGUGCCGAAGCUAACGCGUUAAGCACUCCGCCUGGGGAGUACGGCCGCAAGGCUA
This 377-nucleotide ribosomal RNA is filed under the name uncultured bacterium. RNAcentral describes it as "bacterial SSU rRNA". It matches the Rfam family "Bacterial small subunit ribosomal RNA", at positions 521 to 896 of the family's 1533-position model. The record is from RNAcentral.